GUUGAUCUGCUCUUCAUAUAUUUCAGACAGCCAUGGCGAUAUUAUACAGGAGGAGUACUAUGGGUGUGUGUGUGUGGGUUGGAGAAGAGCAAGGGGAUCGAUUCCACAUCGAUCUAUGGAUGUAUGGCUAUACAGACUGGAGUAUAUCAAGAAGACCGGGAGACAUAAUAAUUAAAGACAAGCUCACCUAAUUAAACAUAGGAGAUGCAACGUGAGAGGUGGGGAUCGAACAUGUACAAGAAACUAAAAGAAUCAGCUGCUAGCUUAGCAGCCAGAUCGAUCUGUCUAUCUACCUAACUAUCUCCCUCUUGCAGCCGGAGCCAGAGAAGAAGAAGGGCUAAUUAAGGAUGGAAGGGAGGGGGGGCAAAUUCUCAACAUACAUAUGUAGAGUGUUGGAUCGAGCAGCUAGAUCAAGGAGGGGAGAGGAAGGCAGCUAAAUUUCUAGGUAGGUUAAGACCAUUGGUUGGCAUGGACAUACACCUCAACAAAAGCAAAGGGAGCGUGCUACUCUAGCUAGCUAUAUAUAUAACAGCAAGGGGCGCGGCCGGGCGCCCUAAGAACAAGAGAGGAGGGGGGAAGCAACACCCAAGAAACCCUAGAUAGAUAGGUAGCUGGAGAGGAAAGGCUGAACAGUAGUAUUGCUAGCUGGCCGGCUGGAUCUUGCAGAGGAGUGAGCAUAGGUAGAGAUCGAUCGAUGGAGAGAACGAGCAGCAGAGAGUUAAUUAAAAGCUUAUGACAGCCUGCUUGUAUAGUAGAUCGAGCUAGGUAGCUGUGUACUAGGUAGAGAGCUAGAGCUUCUGUCAAGCUCUCCCAUGGCCGGAGAAUGUGAAAGCCUGGCUUAUGGAGAAGAAGAGAGAAGGGGGUGGGGGAGCAGUUGGAUUGCUGGUUCAGACGAGACCAACGGGGUGCGCGUUAAUUGGAUUGGUCCGUUAGCUCUAAUAUACAGUCGUUUUCACAGGGGCACAUAUGACAGCGCCACCCACAACCACACACACACACACUCUGUCUCUUUCUUCGCUUCUUCUUCCUUAAUUAGUCAUAGUAUAAUGGUAAUCAUAAUGACUUCAUAGAAUAUACACCGGAAUCUUUACUUUCAAGUCUGCUAGCGAGAGGCAUUCACGCAUUAAUGCGAUAUCUUUACUCCAUUAAAAUUAGACUCAGUUGGUGGCGGCGGUCCGUCGCUCCUUGAGACUGCGUGCUUCACUUGUUGGCUUGACUCGAACCAAUGAGACAAGAACAAAUAUGAAUUAUAUGACCUAAGAUAGUAGAAAUCGGAGAUGACGAGACCUUUCUUUUUCAAAAAAACAAAACAAAACAAAAAAGCGACCUGAGAUAAUAGAUGAUAUUACAACAUUCUUUAUGAUUAUGCGGUGUGUUUUUUGGUCCGUAGCAAUGCAUGGGCAUUAUGAUGGUAUAUACAC
RNAcentral lists this long non-coding RNA (1421 nucleotides) under Brachypodium distachyon (stiff brome). RNAcentral describes it as "long non-coding RNA (BDIS_LNC004044)". Lineage: Eukaryota; Viridiplantae; Streptophyta; Magnoliopsida; Poales; Poaceae. The record is from RNAcentral.